Molecule: unclassified non-coding RNA, 377 nt
Filed under: uncultured bacterium
Lineage: Bacteria
Description: contains 16S-23S intergenic spacer region
Source: RNAcentral
UCCGGUUUGACACCGGCAGUCUCCCUAGAGUUCCCGGCUUUACCCGCUGGUAACUAGGGACAAGGGUUGCGCUCGUUGCGGGACUUAACCCAACAUCUCACGACACGAGCUGACGACAGCCAUGCAGCACCUGUGCACGGACUCCGAAGAGGGGCCGAUGUUUCCACCGGCUUUCCCGUGCAUGUCAAGCCCAGGUAAGGUUCUUCGCGUUGCUUCGAAUUAAACCACACGCUCCGCUGCUUGUGCGGGCCCCCGCCUAUUCCUUUGAGUUUUAACCUUGCGGCCGUACCCCCAGGCGGUCAACUUCACGCGUUAGCUACGGUACCAAGGAAUCGCUUCCCCAACACCCAGUUGACAUCGUUUAGGGCGUGGACUAC